AGAGCGAACGCUGGCGGCAGGCCUAACACAUGCAAGUCGAGCGCCCCGCAAGGGGAGCGGCAGACGGGAGAGUAACACGUGGGAACGUACCCUUCAGUUCGGAACAACCCAGGGAAACUUGGGCUAAUACCGGAUACGUCCGUAAGGAGAAAGAUUUAUCGCUGAAGGAUCGGCCCGCGUCUGAUUAGCUUGUUGGUGAGGUAACGGCUCACCAAGGCUACGAUCAGUAGCUGGUCUGAGAGGAUGAUCAGCCUCACUGGGACUGAGACACGGCCCAGACUCCUACGGGAGGCAGCAGUGGGGAAUAUUGGACAAUGGGCGCAAGCCUGAUCCAGCCAUGCCGCGUGGGUGAUGAAGGCCCUAGGGUUGUAAAGCCCUUUCGGCGGGGAAGAUAAUGACGGUACCGCAGAAGAAGCCCGGCUAACUUCGUGCCAGCAGCCGC
RNAcentral lists this ribosomal RNA (442 nucleotides) under uncultured bacterium. RNAcentral describes it as "SSU rRNA". It matches the Rfam family "Bacterial small subunit ribosomal RNA", at positions 26 to 518 of the family's 1533-position model. The record is from RNAcentral.